This 700-nucleotide ribosomal RNA is filed under the name uncultured bacterium. RNAcentral's name for it is "bacterial SSU rRNA". It matches the Rfam family "Bacterial small subunit ribosomal RNA", at positions 60 to 750 of the family's 1533-position model. The record is from RNAcentral.
AGUCGAGCGGAUGACAGGAGCUUGCUCCUGAAUUCAGCGGCGGACGGGUGAGUAAUGCCUAGGAAUCUGCCUGGUAGUGGGGGACAACGUUUCGAAAGGAACGCUAAUACCGCAUACGUCCUACGGGAGAAAGCAGGGGACCUUCGGGCCUUGCGCUAUCAGAUGAGCCUAGGUCGGAUUAGCUAGUUGGUGAGGUAAUGGCUCACCAAGGCGACGAUCCGUAACUGGUCUGAGAGGAUGAUCAGUCACACUGGAACUGAGACACGGUCCAGACUCCUACGGGAGGCAGCAGUGGGGAAUAUUGGACAAUGGGCGAAAGCCUGAUCCAGCCAUGCCGCGUGUGUGAAGAAGGUCUUCGGAUUGUAAAGCACUUUAAGUUGGGAGGAAGGGCAUUAACCUAAUACGUUAGUGUUUUGACGUUACCGACAGAAUAAGCACCGGCUAACUCUGUGCCAGCAGCCGCGGUAAUACAGAGGGUGCAAGCGUUAAUCGGAAUUACUGGGCGUAAAGCGCGCGUAGGUGGUUUGUUAAGUUGGAUGUGAAAUCCCCGGGCUCAACCUGGGAACUGCAUUCAAAACUGACAAGCCAGAGUAUGGUAGAGGGGUGGGGUGGGAAUUUCCUGUGUAGCGGUGAAAUGCGUAGAUAUAGGAAGGGAACACCAGUGGCGAACGCGACCACCUGGACUGAUACUGACACUGAG